GGGGCUGUUUUUGGAUUCGACGAAUUUUAUUAAAUAAUGAAAUGCAUGUCGAGGGUGCGGCUGGACCUCGUAAAAAAGUCGCGCAUCAAUAAAUGCAAAUAAACAUAAAACAUUUGAACUAGCAGCUUAAUAAACUACGAGUUCCUUCUUAUUUACUUAAUUACUCUAAAAGUAAAUCAAAAAGAAGAUAAUAUAAUACAGAGUAAACGUGAAAAUAUUUUGCUUAUUAAAUUGAAACGUUUAAAAAAAUAAGCUAAAAAAUUUAAAAUAUGUAUGUCUGUUUUAAAUUUAUUAUCUUCGACAUAACUAAACAUGUAGAAUUUCUAUAUAUUAUAAUACUUUCGGAUGCGGGUUCAAAUCCCGCCAGCUCCACCA
This 375-nucleotide transfer-messenger RNA is filed under the name Arsenophonus sp. It matches the Rfam family "transfer-messenger RNA". From Rfam's summary of the family: Bacterial tmRNA, also known as 10Sa RNA or SsrA, is named for its dual tRNA and mRNA-like properties. Its role is to liberate the mRNA from a stalled ribosome. The record is from RNAcentral. Lineage: Bacteria; Pseudomonadati; Pseudomonadota; Gammaproteobacteria; Enterobacterales; Morganellaceae.